CUAUCUGGCUUUUUUGCCUCACAUGUUCUUAUGAAAUGUUUUAGGUUUUCAUGUACAGUAUAUUUAUUUAUUUAUUUUAAAUUCUGUCCAUUCAUUGUCCUGAAACUGGUGAUACAAGGCUCAGUAUUUAUUUUUCCAUAUGCACUUGCAUAGAUGCUGUUCACUUUGGCUGAUGUAGUGGCUGUGUAGAGAAUGACCUGCUUCCUUCUCCCUCAUCCCCUUCUAAUGCAGCCUCCUGGCGUCCUUACUAACGGCGUGCUCGACUUUGACCCCCCCGCUAAGGUCCACCCUCUUCUCCCUGCAGACGGGGGAGCAGCUCUCACCCCAGUCCUCCCCCACCUCGCUCACACACGUAACACGAUCUCUGCCAGCACUGUGGGUCGGCAGCCAGCCUCGGACGAUGGAGCCAAACCCAGAGGUCUCCUGACCACUGAGCUCUGAUGGAGAAAUGAGGAGGAGCCAUCACAACAUUCAAAUCCCUGAUCGCUUCCCCACCUCACCCCCUCACCCAUCCACACACAAGACAAGCUGGGCCAGGUGUGCUGAACACUGAGGGCUAAGAGGAAAGUGGAACCAGGGAAGAGGCAGCUUACAAACACCACAAACUUAAUUUCACCAACACUGACAAACAGAGUGAACAAACUGAACUAAGUACACAGGAAAAUAUUAGAAAUAUAUGAUUACAGUUUUUCAUAACAUGACACAAAUACUAGUUUUUGUAGAACAGUUAAAACAAACAUGUAGCUCCAGUAUUGUCAUCUUAAGAACACCUAACUUGUGAAUCUCCUGUAUGAGUUCACUGUCAAUGACCUGCAAUUUACUUAAUCCAUCCAGUCGACCAAACCUCAGUCUCUCAUAACACCUAGCACCAUCUCCUUGUAGAUGACAAGUGAUGAAAAGUCUUGUUAUUCAACUUGUUUGCUACAAAGGGCAAGUUGGGACUGACACAAGAGAAUGGCAUGACACAGUAAGGUACGUUGCGUAAAAGCAUGAGGCUUACGACUCCAAGAGUAGGUUGUCUCUUUUAGUGCUGCUUUCCUCCCCCAUUUUUGAAUCUUCACUGGUUAUUCACACCACUGGAACUUUGCUACUCUGAGCUUUUGUGUACACGCACAGAUCACACAGCAUGCAGAGAUGCUGAAGUACACUGGAUGAAGGACUAAAAAGAAAAACCUAUUAGAAGAAAAAAAAAGAAAGAUAGUGACUAAAAAUGUUGAUUCUAAGAGAUAAAAAGCCCUGGACUCUUAACAUGAUGAAACGUGGAUAUGAUACUGUACUGUCCUUGUAGCACACUACAAACAAAGGUUUUUAAAAACCUAGUCACUACUACAUGUCAGUCUUCUGUUGGCAGCCACUGGAUAUGAAAACUUUACUGGAUUAGUUUUUGCAACACUGGACCUUAAAAUCUUUUUUUUUGUGCAAUGGAUGACAAUAGAGAUGACUACAUUGGUUUUUCAACUGAUGUUUUUAUUAUCCUGCUCUUACUUUUUUAAUGUUUUAAUAUUUUGAGAGAAAGAUGACUACACAAUGAUAAAGUUGAAGUUUUACCAUUUUGUCCAAAAUGUGAUCCUAUAUGUUUUUAUUUGAAAUCACUGCCUCUACCUGUGACAGAUUUCUCAUUCACACUACUUUUAACUUCUAUGUUGGCUAGGUAAAUGCAAAAGGCGUCUCAAUUGCUGUCAAAACCUUUUAACAACUAUGAUCCCUGGAGGUGGACACUGUUUCCACUUUUUGGAGUACAUAUACUGUUUUCACGAAGCCAGAGUUUUAAAUUUCGAUGUAAUACUAGUAUAAAGAAAUGAGGCAACAGGAUACUUCAAUACCAAGGCAACAGGAUAAUUCUUUUAUUUACCUUUUUUGUUAUUAACAACCUGCACACAGUGCUGUUACAGAAAAAAAUCACUAAACAUAUACCAACACAUUUGUAAAAAUGUAAAACCUCAAUUAACAUUGUUGUUACUAUUCUUAAAUGUGUUCACUACCUUGCAGGCCUACACAUUCUAUGUCAUUAUUGCUUUUAGUAGUUUUUAAUUUUUGUGAUGCUUCACUUGUUUAUGUUGCUGGAGAGAAUGCCAUAACAGCCACAGGUUGAGGACCAGUUUAUUUUCUUUACCGUUGUUUCAUCUGUGCAGCCUUGGGCUGAAAAUCUCAUUGUUGAUCUGUCUUUUUUUUAUAUAGCUUCGGUACUUUCAAUGCUAUCAAAUGUAUAAUUUACAGAGAUCGUAUCGUUUUAAACACGUAUCAAAGUAUCGACACUUUUGACAACCUUUUUAUUACCUAACUGGAUAUCUGAAUUCAUUUUAGACAGCAGACUGACCUUGUUAUACAGUAGAACAUGGCUCCUGGUAUUAACAUGCUGCAGUUACUACCCUGCCUUAUAGAAAUUAAUGUAUUCAAAUAGUCUCAUCUGAGAAUGCUGGAGAUGCCACAGAAUAAAAAGGUGUACAAGUUGUUACAUUCUCAAUUGCUGUUACAGUUUGUAACCGGAGGAAAACCUGUGAAAAAAUGAUGUUAAAAUCAGAUUUUGUACAUGUGAAAUUGAGGCCUAAUUCUACAUGCUAUUUUUGAGUUAUUAAUUAAGUAUACUACAUUGACUCUUAAAAGAAAGACUUGCAUUUUUUUUUCAUCUCAUUACCCCAGCCAACGUAAGUCUGGACCCUCAUUCAAGUUAUGUCUGUAGUUUUUUCAUCAUAUUUCAUUCUUGAACAAGGGAAGCUUAGCAGUGACAGUUAUUUAUGCUAGCUACUACUCAGUGUAAUUGUUCAAAUAUUACAUGUUGUCCAAAAGUGUUGUAGCGUACAGUUAUGAUGUAUUGUCAGUAUAAUGGCAUCAGCUGGCUGUAGAUAUGAAGUAGAUUUAUAUAUAUUUUUUGAAAAUUAUGUUGGCAGUAUUGUUACUACACAGUGAGAAGAUUUCUGCAUUGAGGUGUUUUCUAAUUACAAAAGAAGUAGGAAACUGACUGGAAAAAACAGAUUGUGACGUCUCAAAUGCAAUUUUAUAUAAACUUAUUUUUUUCUGGAAUACCUGAUCAUGAUUCAGUAAAGCUUUGCUACAGUAGGAGUCAAAUGUUUUUCUUCUUUUUUACUGUUUGAAUGUUGAAAUGAUUUGCACGGAAAGGUUAUCCUAUUCACUACUGUGCUGUGCUGUGGGUGUUAAAACAAUAACCUGGAUCACACUUGCGUAGGUAAAACGAAAAUAAUCCAAUUUUGCAGUCCUGUUUAAAUUCACUUGCUCUGUGAGACGUAAAGCUCUUGUAUCUGUAUCAGAAAUGUAGCAAUAACAACUGACUCAGCAGAAGUCUG
Molecule: long non-coding RNA, 3302 nt
Organism: Sander lucioperca (pikeperch)
Lineage: Eukaryota; Metazoa; Chordata; Actinopteri; Perciformes; Percidae
Source: Ensembl